This 253-nucleotide ribosomal RNA is filed under the name uncultured bacterium. RNAcentral describes it as "partial 16S ribosomal RNA". It matches the Rfam family "Bacterial small subunit ribosomal RNA", at positions 524 to 776 of the family's 1533-position model. The record is from RNAcentral.
UACGUAGGGUGCAAGCGUUAAUCGGAAUUACUGGGCGUAAAGCGUGCGCAGGCGGUUAUGUAAGACAGAUGUGAAAUGCCCGGGCUCAACCUGGGAACUGCAUUUGUGACUGCAUGGCUAGAGUGUGUCAGAGGGGGGUAGAAUUCCACGUGUAGCAGUGAAAUGCGUAGAUAUGUGGAGGAAUACCGAUGGCGAAGGCAGCCCCCUGGGAUAACACUGACGCUCAUGCACGAAAGCGUGGGGAGCAAACAGG